RNAcentral lists this ribosomal RNA (477 nucleotides) under uncultured bacterium. RNAcentral's name for it is "partial 16S ribosomal RNA". It matches the Rfam family "Bacterial small subunit ribosomal RNA", at positions 28 to 507 of the family's 1533-position model. The record is from RNAcentral.
GAUGAACGCUGGCGGCGUGCCUAAUACAUGCAAGUCGAGCGAACGGACGAGAAGCUUGCUUCUCUGAUGUUAGCGGCGGACGGGUGAGUAACACGUGGAUAACCUACCUAUAAGACUGGGAUAACUUCGGGAAACCGUAGCUAAUACCGGAUAAUAUUUUGAACCGCAUGGUUCAAAAGUGAAAGACGGUCUUGUCGUGACUGAUAGAUGGAUGCGCGCUGCAUUAGCUAGUUGGUAAGGUAACGGCUUAUCAAGGCAACGAUGGGUAGCCGACCUGAGAGGGUGACCGGCCACAUUGGGACUGAGAUACGGCCAAGACUGCUACGGGAGGGAGGAGUGGGGAAUAUUGAAAAAUGGGCGGAAGCAUGAUGCAGCAACGCCGGGUGCGGGAUGACGGCCGUCGGGUUGGAAACCGCUGGCGCCUGUGACGAAGCGUGAGUGACGGGAAUGGGUAAAGAAGCACCGGCUAACUACGUG